UACGGAGGGUGCGAGCGUUAAUCGGAAUUACUGGGCGUAAAGCGCACGUAGGCGGUUUAGUAAGUCGAAUGUGAAAGCCCCGGGCUCAACCUGGGAACUGCAUUCGAUACUGCUUAACUAGAGUAUGACAGAGGAAUGUGGAAUUCCGGGUGUAGCGGUGAAAUGCGUAGAUAUCCGGAGGAACAUCAGUGGCGAAGGCGACAUUCUGGGUUAAUACUGACGCUGAGGUGCGAAAGCGUGGGGAGCAAACAGG
RNAcentral lists this ribosomal RNA (253 nucleotides) under uncultured bacterium. RNAcentral describes it as "partial 16S ribosomal RNA". It matches the Rfam family "Bacterial small subunit ribosomal RNA", at positions 524 to 776 of the family's 1533-position model. The record is from RNAcentral.